AGUGAACGCUGGCGGUAGGCCUAACACAUGCAAGUCGAACGGCAGCACAGUAAGAGCUUGCUCUUACGGGUGGCGAGUGGCGGACGGGUGAGGAAUACAUCGGAAUCUACUUUUUCGUGGGGGAUAACGUAGGGAAACUUACGCUAAUACCGCAUACGACCUACGGGUGAAAACAGGGGAUCUUCGGACCUUGCGCGAUUGAAUGAGCCGAUGUCGGAUUAGCUAGUUGGCGGGGUAAAGGCCCACCAAGGCGACGAUCCGUAGCUGGUCUGAGAGGAUGAUCAGCCACACUGGAACUGAGACACGGUCCAGACUCCUACGGGAGGCAGCAGUGGGGAAUAUUGGACAAUGGGCGCAAGCCUGAUCCAGCCAUACCGCGUGGGUGAAGAAGGCCUUCGGGUUGUAAAGUCCUUUUGUUGGGAAAGAAAAGCAGCAGGUUAAUACCCCGCUGUUCUGACGGUACCCAAAGAAUAAGCACCGGCUAACUUCGUG
RNAcentral lists this ribosomal RNA (492 nucleotides) under uncultured bacterium. RNAcentral's name for it is "partial 16S ribosomal RNA". It matches the Rfam family "Bacterial small subunit ribosomal RNA", at positions 29 to 507 of the family's 1533-position model. The record is from RNAcentral.